AUGGCCUUUAAACAGUGAAUAAGACUGACUCCAUGACAUCUGCAAAGGAAAUCCAGGAACCAUUUUUCAGUUAUUCUCCAGACCAACCCUGUAGAAAGUGACUUGGACAUUAAGAGGGAGACGAAGGUUUGAGCUGUGAGGGACUUCUCUGAGCUGUUUCACAACGCUGGUCCCUCAAAGAAGAUGGAGUGGUCCUGGCGUAGAACAGAAGGUGGAGACGUGUUUGGCUUUCUGUGUAUCUAAGAGGAAAAGUGUGAGAAAGCCUACUACAGAUGGCCUAAGAUGUGAUUGAUUUCACACAUGACG
This 306-nucleotide long non-coding RNA is filed under the name Mus spicilegus (steppe mouse). Its description in RNAcentral is "lncRNA (ENSMSIG00000023902.1)". Lineage: Eukaryota; Metazoa; Chordata; Mammalia; Rodentia; Muridae. The record is from RNAcentral.